GAUGAACGCUGGCGGCGUGCUUAACACAUGCAAGUCGAACGGCAGGGCCCUGCUUUUGUGGGGUGCUCGAGUGGCGAACGGGUGAGUAACACGUGAGUACCCUGCCCUUGGCUGUGGGAUACCUUCAGGAAACUGGGGCUAUUACCGGUUAGGAGCACCGGCUGCAUGGGGGGGGCUGGAAAGUUUCGGCGGUUGGGGAUGGACUCGCGGCUUAUCAGCUUGUUGGGGGGGUAGUGGCUUACCAAGGCUUUGACGGGUAGCCGACCUGAGAGGGUAAACAGGCACCAUAGGACUACGGGACGGCCCAGACGGGAACGGGAGGCAGCAGUGGGAAGCAUGACACAAUGAGCCGGAGCGUGAGACAGCAGCGCUGCGGGUGGGAAGACGUCUUGCGCGUAAAGAACCCCUUGGCCCUAAGACGGAGCGUGGAUGACGGUAACGGAAAAAUAAGCACCGGCUAACUACGUG
RNAcentral lists this ribosomal RNA (468 nucleotides) under uncultured bacterium. RNAcentral describes it as "partial 16S ribosomal RNA". It matches the Rfam family "Bacterial small subunit ribosomal RNA", at positions 28 to 507 of the family's 1533-position model. The record is from RNAcentral.